GAUGAAGAACGUAGCGAAAUGCGAUACUUGGUGUGAAUUGCAGAAUCCCGUGAACCAUCGAGUCUUUGAACGCAAGUUGCGCCCGAAGCCAUUAGGCCGAGGGCACGCCUGCCUGGGCGUCACACGUCGUUGCCCCCCCAUCUACUCCUUCGGGAUUGCGGGGGGCGGAUGAUGGCCUCCCGUGCGCCUCGUCGCGCGGUUGGCAUAAAUGCCAAGUCCUCGGCGACGCACGCCACGACAAUCGGUGGUUGCGAAACCUCGGUUGCCCGUCGUGUGCGGUCGUCGCGCAUCGAGGGCUCGAAAAAAUUGCCGGGCUCCGGCUCGGCUUUCAACGCGACCCCAGGUCAGGCGGGGUUACCCUCUGAAUUUAAGCAUAUCAAUAAGCGGAGGA
Molecule: unclassified non-coding RNA, 391 nt
Filed under: soil metagenome
Description: partial contains 5.8S ribosomal RNA, internal transcribed spacer 2, and large subunit ribosomal RNA
Rfam family: 5.8S ribosomal RNA (bases 1-122)
Source: RNAcentral